RNAcentral lists this ribosomal RNA (497 nucleotides) under uncultured bacterium. Its description in RNAcentral is "partial 16S ribosomal RNA". It matches the Rfam family "Bacterial small subunit ribosomal RNA", at positions 28 to 507 of the family's 1533-position model. The record is from RNAcentral.
GAUGAACGCUGGCGGCGUGCCUAAUACAUGCAAGUCGAGCGAACGGACGAGAAGCUUGCUUCUCUGAUGUUAGCGGCGGACGGGUGAGUAACACGUGGAUAACCUACCUAUAAGACUGGGAUAACUUCGGGAAACCGGAGCUAAUACCGUAUGAUAUUUUGCACCGCAUGGUUCAAAAGUGAAAGACGGUCUUGCUGUCACUUAUAGAUGGAUCCGCGCUGCAUUAGCUAGUUGGUAAGGUAACGGCUUACCACGGCGACGAUGCAUAGCCGACCUGAGAGGGUGAUCGGCCGCACUGGAGCUGAGACACGGUCCAGACUCCUGCGAGAGGCAGCAGUAGGGAAUCUUCCGCAGAGGGCGAAAGCCUGACGGAGCAACGCCGCGUGAGUGAUGGAGGUCUUCGGAUCGUAAAACUCUGUUAUUAGGGAAGAACAUAUGUGUAAGUAACUGUGCACAUCUUGACGGUACCUAGUCAGAAAGCCACGGCUAACUACGUG